UACGAACCGUGCGAACGUUAUUCGGAAUCACUGGGCUUAAAGAGCGCGUAGGCGGAUUGUUACGUCGGCUGCUGAAAUCCCCCGGCUCAACCGGGGAAGUGGCACCGAUACGGGCAGUCUCGAGGGACGUAGGGGGACCUGGAACUUCCGGUGGAGCGGUGAAAUGCGUUGAGAUCGGAAGGAACGCCCGUGGCGAAAGCGAGGUCCUGGACGUCUUCUGACGCUGAGGCGCGAAAGCUAGGGGAGCGAACGGG
This 254-nucleotide ribosomal RNA is filed under the name uncultured bacterium. RNAcentral describes it as "partial 16S ribosomal RNA". It matches the Rfam family "Bacterial small subunit ribosomal RNA", at positions 524 to 776 of the family's 1533-position model. The record is from RNAcentral.